AUGCAAGUCGUACGCUAGCCGCUGAAUUGAUCCUUCGGGUGAAGUGAGGCAAUGACUAGAGUGGCGAACUGGUGAGUAACACGUAAGAAACCUGCCCUUUAGUGGGGGAUAACAUUUGGAAACAGAUGCUAAUACCGCGUAACAACAAAUCACACAUGUGAUCUGUUUGAAAGGUCCUUUUGGAUCGCUAGAGGAUGGUCUUGCGGCGUAUUAGCUUGUUGGUAGGGUAGAAGCCUACCAAGGCAAUGAUGCGUAGCCGAGUUGAGAGACUGGCCGGCCACAUUGGGACUGAGACACUGCCCAAACUCCUACGGGAGGCUGCAGUAGGGAAUUUUCCGCAAUGCACGAAAGUGUGACGGAGCGACGCCGCGUGUGUGAUGAAGGCUUUCGGGUCGUAAAGCACUGUUGUAAGGGAAGAAUAACUGAAUUCAGAGAAAGUUUUCAGCUUGACGGUACCUUACCAGAAAGGGAUGGCUAAAUACGUGCCAGCAGCCGCGGUAAUACGUAUGUCCCGAGCGUUAUCCGGAUUUAUUGGGCGUAAAGCGAGCGCAGACGGUUUAUUAAGUCUGAUGUGAAAUCCCGAGGCCCAACCUCGGAACUGCAUUGGAAACUGAUUUACUUGAGUGCGAUAGAGGCAAGUGGAACUCCAUGUGUAGC
Molecule: ribosomal RNA, 657 nt
Filed under: Oenococcus oeni
Lineage: Bacteria; Bacillati; Bacillota; Bacilli; Lactobacillales; Lactobacillaceae
Description: bacterial SSU rRNA
Rfam family: Bacterial small subunit ribosomal RNA
Source: RNAcentral